UUUGAAAUCUGGCACCUUCGGUGUCCGAGUUGUAAUUUGAAGAAGGUAACUUUGGAGUUGGCUCUUGUCUAUGUUCCUUGGAACAGGACGUCACAGAGGGUGAGAAUCCCGUGCGAUGAGAUGCCCAAUUCUAUGUAAAGUGCUUUCGAAGAGUCGAGUUGUUUGGGAAUGCAGCUCUAAGUGGGUGGUAAAUUCCAUCUAAAGCUAAAUAUUGGCGAGAGACCGAUAGCGAACAAGUACAGUGAUGGAAAGAUGAAAAGAACUUUGAAAAGAGAGUGAAAAAGUACGUGAAAUUGUUGAAAGGGAAGGGCUUGAGAUCAGACUUGGUAUUUUGCGAUCCUUUCCUUCUUGGUUGGGUUCCUCGCAGCUUACUGGGCCAGCAUCGGUUUGGAUGGUAGGAUAAUGACUAAGGAAUGUGGCUCUACUUCGGUGGAGUGUUAUAGCCUUGGUUGAUACUGCCUGUCUAGACCGAGGACUGCGUCUUUGACUAGGAUGCUGGCAUAAUGAUCUUAAGCCACCCUACACACAGUGUUUUUUGUUAUUACAAGAACUUUUGCUUUGGUCUGGACUAGAAAUAGUUUGGGCCAGAGG
This 591-nucleotide ribosomal RNA is filed under the name Debaryomyces fabryi. Its description in RNAcentral is "partial large subunit ribosomal RNA". The stretch from base 1 to 531 matches the Rfam family "Eukaryotic large subunit ribosomal RNA", at positions 114 to 664 of the family's 3401-position model. Lineage: Eukaryota; Fungi; Ascomycota; Pichiomycetes; Serinales; Debaryomycetaceae. The record is from RNAcentral.